This 445-nucleotide long non-coding RNA is filed under the name Anser brachyrhynchus (Pink-footed goose). Its description in RNAcentral is "lncRNA (ENSABRG00000010348.1)". The record is from RNAcentral. Lineage: Eukaryota; Metazoa; Chordata; Aves; Anseriformes; Anatidae.
UCUGGCUGUUCAUAAGGAAGCCAUUAGCCUGGAACAUAUGCUGGGGCUGUGAAAAAUUAACCCCAGCCGUGUCCAGGCUCCAGCAGAUGGGUGCUGCUCUGCACAAGCUGAUGCAUUUGUUACUGACAUCCCGUCCUGAAGCUGAGGGCAGAAGGCUGAAAGCUGGAUAUGCCCUGGAGAUCAGUCUGUCCUGCCUUCCUCGGGGUUUAUCUUCUUAGGCCUUUCAGAGAUGGAUUUACGGGGGGAAAUCAGGAGGAGUGUAAUGCCCCUCAUCUAAAACAAUUUGCCCCAUCUUCAAACUUUCUGAAACAUUUGACUCACAUUCCUGAGUUAUCAAGACUUCUUCAUUCCGCAGAAUUACUGCAUAUGCCGUGGCUCCCUCAUCAGCCGUGACAUGAGAGGCAGACACAAACUUCCAGGGCCACUUGAAAUUCUCCCAUGGCAA